UCAUAGCUUAUUCGUGACUACAGUCUAAACGGACAUCUCUUUCUAGAAUCAUCUAAAUAUGGGAAGUUUGGCACUUGAUACUGAGAGUGUAGACCCAGAUAUAUACCAGACAUUGGGACUGAAAGAAUUGGGCAGAGGAGUUCUGGGAAGUCCAAAGAUUUUAUCACUUGUUGCCAGAGUUUUGGAGAGAUCUGUUCAGAAAAAUGAAUUGCUACUGGAGACAAUGCAGAUUGAAGAUAACAUAACGGUAUUUCAUGGGUUAAGAGCACCGACCAUAACUAUUCAACAAUAUAUUGAUCGCAUCUUCAAGUAUGCUAGCUGUAGCCCCUCCUGCUUUGUCAUUGCACAAAUUUAUGUGGAUAAAUUCCUUCAGCAAACUGAAGUUCAUUUAACUUCUCUUAAUGUUCACCGGCUUCUUAUAACAAGUGUAAUGGUAGCUGCAAAAUUUAUUGAUGAUGCAUUUUACAAUAACGCAUACUACGCCAGAGUGGGAGGAGUAAGCACAUCAGAAUUGAACAGGAUGGAAAUGAAGUUUUUGUUUAGUCUAGAUUUCAGACUUCAAGUGAAUGUGAAGACAUUCCAAAGGUUUUGUUCACAGUUGGAAAAAGAAGCUGCAGAAGGUCUCCAAAUUGAACGGCCAAUUCAAGCCUGUAAAGUUAAGGAGAACUGGUCAAAUAAAGGCAAUUCAGCAUGUGUUCCCACGAGUGCAAGAUGAAAAUAGCAAAUCAUAUCAAUGUAUCAUUACAAUCCCUACAUUUGGCUUGAGCAUUUUCAAGUUCUGGAUGUUGUUGAUUAUCGUCUAUGCCAUAGUUGUUUUUAGUGAAUGAUCAUUGCAGAGGCAGCAUGUUCACUUUCUCUGCAUGAUUUUUUUGUGGCAGCUGUUGAUGAUAUGGAAAGAGUAAUUAUAUCCAUUAAAAUUCGAAAGAAAUUGUGGGCACAUAUCAGUUUGAAGAGCACAGCUACCAUCAGUGCCCCGUGUUUGCCUGUGUUUUACCUGGAACGUCAGACAUGCAGAUUCUUGUGGCUGCUUCGGAACUACAAAAACAAUUACUGUAGUUAUGGAGAGAAUAGAGAGAAUCAUAACAAGGCACAACAAAGUAAAAGAAAUAUGAUAAUAGCGAAAGACAAGGGGUUCAAGGCGUCAAGCAAGAAGAGUCUUGAGUAGACCUCUGGUUUCUCAAUGUUUGAGUUGGCAAUCUUUGUCACAUCUCUGUGGCCCAGCGGAUGAGCUUAGAAUCCUGUUUAUUAGGCUUGAAUUUUCAUAACUAAAUAGAUGGGUUAUGAGCUUAGGAUCCAGUUUAUUAGGUUUGAAUUUUCAUAACUAAAUAAAUGAAUUUUGCAGGAAGAAUGCUUGUUUGAAGUCUAAAAGCAAAACUUGUGCGAGCUACUGCAAAGCGGACAAUAUCUAUUUGGUUAAACCGGAAUUUGAUAAUUAGUGUCAAAGCAGUAUUUCACGAGGAUGUGAGACUUUAGAAGAUGAGGAGUUUGUCACAUCAUACUUGCGGAAACGCAAAAACAAACUCAUGAGAGUCUGGACACAAAGUGCACAACAUUUACUUAGUCGGACCGGGGAUUUGACAGUACUAGUCUACUGAAAUAUUGUUGCCAUUACAAUCAUGAU
Molecule: RNA transcript, 1621 nt
Organism: Pistacia vera
Lineage: Eukaryota; Viridiplantae; Streptophyta; Magnoliopsida; Sapindales; Anacardiaceae
Gene name: cyclin-P3-1-like
Exons: 4
Source: RefSeq, a predicted model, not a curated record